Molecule: long non-coding RNA, 866 nt
Organism: Camelina sativa (false flax)
Lineage: Eukaryota; Viridiplantae; Streptophyta; Magnoliopsida; Brassicales; Brassicaceae
Source: RefSeq, a predicted model, not a curated record
UCUGUUUACAAAAUCAAAACAGAGAAACACGAAAUCAAAACAAAGAAACACGAAAUAAAAACGAUCGAAGUUCUGAUCGGUUUCCAGAAACAAUAGAUCUUGCCUCGUCGUCUUCUUCUUCCUGAGACGUUAUGGAGAUCGGUUGAUGAAUACACUGGAGAAAGAGAUCUCGCCUCCUCGUCUUCUUCUUUGAUUCGAUCCAACAGGUCAAGUCUUUGUUUGGUUAUGCUAAAUCCAGCACCCCGGUCAGUGUAUCGAAGAAUUGUACCAAUCUCAAUGUUGCUUGCGGAAGUGCAUAGCCUUCCCCACAAAGCUCACCUGGGUCUCCCCGUUUCUCCAGGCAAAAGGCUAGCCCCUCUUCUCUACAAUCUCCAACCAAAUCGUCAACUCAUUCCUCAGGAACAUGGAAAGGAUGAGGUUGAGUAUUUCAGACUUUGUGAUCUUUAGGACUGUUACGAUGAGCUGAGUGCAGUACUACAUCCCGUAUCUAUCAGCCAUCCAAAUCAAACCGACUUGAUUUCCAGAAUGUUGUCUCUGAACUUUGGCACACCACAACAAAAGUCCCUCAUCUGUGAAGUAUGUGAUAUGUAGUCUUUAUGCGGCUUCAGCAACACCCGGUUAGGUCGGCACAACACAACAAAAGUUCUUCGUCCGUGAACACAAAAGUUCUUCGUCCGUGAACCUUUUCAGUUUUGCUAAUUUGUUUUCUUCUACCCACUUGUGAAUCGGCUACUCCUAUCUACUUGUUGUUCAAUAAACUUGUAUAUAUAGCAAAUGAGACUCGGCUACUCUUGAAUGUAAAAACUCUCAAGUUUCAAAACUAUUCUGCUCCCAAUAACGUUGCAAACAAUCUCUCUUCCAAAUCC